CCUGCGGGAAGAGAUGGCGCGAACACGGGUUACAGGGCAGAAAGGCCGGCCAGGCGCCCCGACUCCGCCCCCCGACUACCCAACGGGACAAAGAAAGCCAGCGCGUGCGCAGAGGGCCAGAGACUCCACGCCCAGCGCGGAGCCCAAUGCGGGGCUUGACCCUGAGAUCGAGACCUAAGCUGAGAUCUAGCAGACUCCAACUCUUAACGGGGGAAGUAAGCAGGGACAGGACAUAUCUUUUGAAACUGGGAAGUGGCACACCAAUUCAGCUGCUCUAGCAAUGGCUUAAAUAACAGUGAAGUUGAUUGACCUCUUGUGUAACAGUCCGAGAGAGUAUGCAAUCCCCGGUGACAUUAACAGGGAGUGAAUUUCCAGUGUCAGGGACUGCCUGCUUAAUUUUCUCUGUCAACUUGACUGGGCCACAGGGCACCCAGAUAUCUGGUCGAACAUUCUCCGGGUGUUUCGGGUGCGAUUAACAUUUAAAUUGGUGACUUAGUAAAGCAGACUAGGCUCCCUGCUGUGGGCGAGCCCAUCCGAUGACAUGAAAGGCCUAUCCUCCUCAGAGGGAGAAAGAAUUCUUUCUGCCUGAUUGCCUUUGACCUGGGACAUGGGCUUUUUUUCCUGCAUCCAGACUCCCACUGAGACAUCAGCCCUUCCUGCAUUUCCAGCUGCCUGCCUUCUGAUGAGACCUACACCAUCAGCUGUCCUGGUACUCAGGCCUUUGGACUCGGACUGGAACUAAACAUCGGCCUUCCUGGGUCUCCAGUUCACCAACUUGCCCUGCGGAUCUCAAGGCUUGCCUACCUCCAUAAUUGUGUUUUUUUUCUAGCCUUCUUCUAGCUUGUGGGUCCACCAUCUGCAACACAUGGUUUCCAUCUCGUGGGGGAAGAGGACACGCCAAUGCCCGACACAGCUCUACUCCAGUCCCAAGAAGGGAGAGGCUGAAAGGGAGGCCAUCCUCUUUGCCUAAAAAAGGCCAUAACUCAGAUGCUGCCCACAUCCCAUUGGCCAGAACCCAUUCACGUGGUAAGACCUAGUUGCAGGGGAGCCUGGGAAAUGUAGUCUUUAGCUGGGCAGCCAUACGUCCAGUGAAAACUUUCCUAUCGUACAUGAUUGAAGGGACAUCUAGCAGUGUUUGCCACACAAAAGAUUGAAACCAAGCAAACAGAGGGCUGAAGCCAAUGUAGUGAUACCUGAAUGAUGUGUAAAGAGACUUGGAAUAGAAAACGCAUUUGAUUGACAUCUAGUCCCUCUCGUUUGCCCACAGUGAGAAUUAUUCAUGCAAACCCAACGUGUCCAUCUCAAUCUUCUAGAACCUGGCAGAAUUGAACUUCCUGGACUCUCUGUGACUCACCAAGGUCACGUGACUAGUUGUUGUCAGUGAAUUUCACGAGGUUA
This is a long non-coding RNA of Leopardus geoffroyi (Geoffroy's cat), 1398 nucleotides long. RefSeq lists it as uncharacterized. The record is from RefSeq and is a predicted model, not a curated record. NCBI's taxonomy places the organism in Eukaryota, Metazoa, Chordata, Mammalia, Carnivora, Felidae. The transcript is spliced from 2 exons.